CCUACGGGAGGCAGCAGUGGGGGAUAUUGGACAAUGGAGGAAAGUCUGAUGCAGCAACGCCGCGUGAGGGAAGAAGGCUUUCGGAUUGUAAACCUCUGUUCUUGGGGAAGAUAAUGAGGGUGUCCAAGGAGAAAGAUCCGGCUAACUACGUGCCAGCAGCCGCGGUAAUACGCAGGGGGCAAGCGUUGUCCGGAUUUACUGGGUGUAAAGGGGGCGUAGGCGGUCUUGCAAGUCAGAUGUGAAAACUACAGGCUCAACCUGUGGACUGCAUUUGAAACUGUGUGCCUUGAGUAAAGUAGAGGUCGUCGGAAUUCCUGGUGUAGCGGUGAAAUGCGUAGAUAGCAGGAAGAACACCAGUGGCGAAGGCGGCCUACUGGACUUCAACUGACGCUGAGGCACGAAAGCGUGGGUAGCAAACAGGAUUAGAUACCCUAGUAGUC
Molecule: ribosomal RNA, 440 nt
Filed under: uncultured bacterium
Lineage: Bacteria
Description: partial 16S ribosomal RNA
Rfam family: Bacterial small subunit ribosomal RNA
Source: RNAcentral